This 54-nucleotide transfer RNA is filed under the name Brentisentis yangtzensis. RNAcentral's name for it is "tRNA-Leu". Lineage: Eukaryota; Metazoa; Acanthocephala; Palaeacanthocephala; Echinorhynchida; Leptorhynchoididae. The record is from RNAcentral.
ACUAGAAUGGCAGAUUUAUGUGGGUGGUUUAGGUCCACCAGAUUUAAUCUAGUU